RNAcentral lists this ribosomal RNA (480 nucleotides) under uncultured organism. Its description in RNAcentral is "partial 16S ribosomal RNA". It matches the Rfam family "Bacterial small subunit ribosomal RNA", at positions 329 to 800 of the family's 1533-position model. The record is from RNAcentral.
ACGUACACUCCUGCGGGAGGCAGCAGUGGGGAAUAUUGCACAAUGGGCGCAAGCCUGAUGCAGCCAUGCCGCGUGUAUGAAGAAGGCCUUCGGGUUGUAAAGUACUUUCAGCGGGGAGGAAGGCAAUACGGUUAAUAACCGUGUUGAUUGACGUUACCCGCAGAAGAAGCACCGGCUAACUCCGUGCCAGCAGCCGCGGUAAUACGGAGGGUGCAAGCGUUAAUCGGAAUUACUGGGCGUAAAGCGCACGCAGGCGGUCUGUCAAGUCGGAUGUGAAAUCCCCGGGCUCAACCUGGGAACUGCAUUCGAAACUGGCAGGCUUGAGUCUUGUAGAGGGGGGUAGAAUUCCAGGUGUAGCGGUGAAAUGCGUAGAGAUCUGGAGGAAUACCGGUGGCGAAGGCGGCCCCCUGGACAAAGACUGACGCUCAGGUGCGAAAGCGUGGGGAGGAAACAGGAUUAGAUACCCGUGUAGUCCCAUGA